RNAcentral lists this ribosomal RNA (464 nucleotides) under Vreelandella stevensii. RNAcentral describes it as "partial 16S ribosomal RNA". It matches the Rfam family "Bacterial small subunit ribosomal RNA", at positions 338 to 796 of the family's 1533-position model. Lineage: Bacteria; Pseudomonadati; Pseudomonadota; Gammaproteobacteria; Oceanospirillales; Halomonadaceae. The record is from RNAcentral.
CCUACGGGGCGCAGCAGUGGGGAAUAUUGGACAAUGGGCGAAAGCCUGAUCCAGCCAUGCCGCGUGUGUGAAGAAGGCCUUCGGGUUGUAAAGCACUUUCAGUGGGGAAGAAAGCCUUGGGGCUAAUACCCUCGAGGAAGGACAUCACCCACAGAAGAAGCACCGGCUAACUCCGUGCCAGCAGCCGCGGUAAUACGGAGGGUGCGAGCGUUAAUCGGAAUUACUGGGCGUAAAGCGCGCGUAGGCGGUCUGAUAAGCCGGUUGUGAAAGCCCCGGGCUCAACCUGGGAACGGCAUCCGGAGGGUGAGGUGAGGGGGCGGGAGAGGAGGGAGACAUCCGCGGGGGGGGGGGGAAUGGCGGAAGAGUCGGGAGGAAUAGCAGGGGAGGAGGGGGCCUGAGGCAAGGACCCGGCCCCGGGGGGGCAAAGGGGUGGGUACAAACCGGGUGAGCAACGCCCGUAGUUC